This 93-nucleotide transfer RNA is filed under the name Eremothecium cymbalariae DBVPG#7215. It matches the Rfam family "tRNA". Rfam says of the family: Transfer RNA (tRNA) molecules are approximately 80 nucleotides in length. Their secondary structure includes four short double-helical elements and three loops (D, anti-codon, and T loops). The record is from Rfam by way of RNAcentral. Lineage: Eukaryota; Fungi; Ascomycota; Saccharomycetes; Saccharomycetales; Saccharomycetaceae.
GCGGAUUUAGCUCAGUUGGGAGAGCGCCAGACUGAAGUCAACCUUAGAUAACUUGUAAUCUGGAGGUCCUGUGUUCGAUCCACAGAAUUCGCA